AGUAUCUCUUAACAGCUUUUUCUUUUCCAGCUAUAGUAGCCAAAAUCUAAUUUGCAUAUAAUCCAUCUCCGAGUAACUAUUUUAGUACUUGAUUAUUCUGACUAUUAAUUGGAUUUGACCACUUGAGCUUGUUAGAAAAAAUAUUGAAAUUCAAGUACAUAAGUAAUUGAAUUUAUUUUUUUUAAAAUUAUUUUUUUAAAUAAGAAAAUAAAAAUGUGAUUCCCUAAAAUGCAACAACACAGCACUCCUUUAGUGAAUUAUUGGUCAUUUUGUAUCAAAGGAUGCACCUGCAAUAAAAAAAAAAACAACUUUUAAAAUCAACAUGUGAGAAGUUCAGCUUUAACAUCAAUACGGUGUAUGGCUAAUCUGCUUUUAUUUUUGUAUUUGUUUUUUUUUUUUUUUUGGAUUAACUAAUAGUUGGAAAGCAAAAGGUGGUUAAUGGGAGAAUUUAACAGAACCAGGUGAAGGUGAAACUGCACCGCCUGAGGAGUUCUGAGAGACGAAGGAAAAUAUUCUCAUUCUGAACGCAAAACGUACAACUUUGUGUUGCUCUUUCUGCAAAUGGCUUUUUAAAAAAAAACAUUUAUCUGCAUAUUCUAGUUAAUAUUGGAGCAGGGGAGCAAAACUCAUUUUUGUUUCAGGCCGCAUCCAGAUCAUGGAUGUCGUCAAAGGGCCGGUGGAGGCAGAAUGAAACCGCUAAACUACUAAAUUAUAAUAGUUUUUUUUUUCUGCGUUUGAUUAGUAUAUCUUGAAAUAAAACAAUUAACUUUUUUCACAGUGAUGUAUUUCGGAUCUAUAUAAAUGAAAACUGAUUUGAUUUAACUGAU
This is a long non-coding RNA of Xiphophorus hellerii (green swordtail), 827 nucleotides long. RefSeq lists it as uncharacterized. The transcript is spliced from 2 exons. Lineage: Eukaryota; Metazoa; Chordata; Actinopteri; Cyprinodontiformes; Poeciliidae. The record is from RefSeq and is a predicted model, not a curated record.